GACGAAGGGGGCUAGCGUUGUUCGGAAUUACUGGGCGUAAAGCGCGUGUAGGCGGUUGUUCAAGUCAGGUGUGAAAGCCUUGAGCUCAACUCAAGAAAUGCACUUGAUACUAGAUGACUAGAGGACCGGAGAGGAUAGUGGAAUUCCCAGUGUAGUGGUGAAAUACGUAGAGAUUGGGAAGAACACCAGUGGCGAAGGCGGCUAUCUGGACGGUUUCUGACGCUAAGACGCGAAAGCGUGGGGAGCAAACAGG
This 253-nucleotide ribosomal RNA is filed under the name uncultured bacterium. RNAcentral describes it as "partial 16S ribosomal RNA". It matches the Rfam family "Bacterial small subunit ribosomal RNA", at positions 524 to 776 of the family's 1533-position model. The record is from RNAcentral.